UAAGAAAUGCUGUGCAAAUGAAUUCGGCCGU
RNAcentral lists this non-coding RNA (31 nucleotides) under Mus musculus (house mouse). Lineage: Eukaryota; Metazoa; Chordata; Mammalia; Rodentia; Muridae. The record is from RNAcentral.